RNAcentral lists this ribosomal RNA (253 nucleotides) under uncultured bacterium. RNAcentral's name for it is "partial 16S ribosomal RNA". It matches the Rfam family "Bacterial small subunit ribosomal RNA", at positions 524 to 776 of the family's 1533-position model. The record is from RNAcentral.
UACGUAGGGGGCUAGCGUUGUCCGGAAUCAUUGGGCGUAAAGCGCGCGUAGGCGGCCAGAUAAGUCCGGUGUGAAAGCCACAGGCUCAACCUGUGAAUGCCGCUGGAAACUGUCUGGCUAGAGACCGGGAGAGGUGAGUGGAAUUCCCAGUGUAGCGGUGAAAUGCGUAGAUAUUGGGAGGAACACCAGUGGCGAAGGCGGCUCACUGGACCGGAACUGACGCUGAGGCGCGAAAGCGUGGGGAGCAAACAGG